Non-coding RNA from Caenorhabditis elegans, 125 nucleotides. NCBI's taxonomy places the organism in Eukaryota, Metazoa, Nematoda, Chromadorea, Rhabditida, Rhabditidae. The record is from Ensembl.
CGAUGUGUCUUUCUUCUCAAUCUGUUUGUUCUGUGCAAAAGAUACUUGUCAAUGAAUUACCACUGAUCAGCAUGUGGUUAUGAGAAGACAACGCCCAGAUGAUACAUCUAUAUAUUGUUAAAACU